RNAcentral lists this long non-coding RNA (199 nucleotides) under Vigna radiata. RNAcentral's name for it is "long non-coding RNA (VRAD_LNC016370)". Lineage: Eukaryota; Viridiplantae; Streptophyta; Magnoliopsida; Fabales; Fabaceae. The record is from RNAcentral.
UUGGAGCUAAAUCACAAAGGAAAUAUGUUAUGAAAUGUGAUGUGAGUUGUUAUAGUGUGGACUUUAUGGAACCAUAAGAAUCAUAUUGUUUUAUAGAAAUGCAUAAUACCUCACCUUGGAGAGAUAUUUAGUGUAGCCCAAGUGAAAUAGACAUGAUUGAAAUAUAAAAAUACAAAAGUCAAGUUUAUUUUCUCUUAUC